Molecule: non-coding RNA, 30 nt
Filed under: Homo sapiens (human)
Lineage: Eukaryota; Metazoa; Chordata; Mammalia; Primates; Hominidae
Source: RNAcentral
UGCUGUGAGUUCUGUACUCCUUUGGGUUUC